AACGAACGCUGGCGGCAUGCCUAACACAUGCAAGUCGAACGAAACCUUCGGGUCUAUGGGCGCACGGGUGCGUAAGGCGUGGGAACCUGCCCUUAGGUUCGGAAUAACUCCCCGAAAGGGGUGCUAAUACCGGAUAAUGUCUUCGGACCAAAGAUUUAUCGCCUUUGGAUGGGCCCUCGUUGGAUUAGCUAGUUGGUAGGGUAAAAGCCUACCAAGGCGACGAUCCCUAGCUGGUCUGAGAGGAUGAUCAGCCACACUGGGACUGAGACACGGCCCAGACUCCUACGGAAGGCAGCAGUGGGUAAUAUUGGACAAUGGGCGAAAGCCUGAUCCAGCAAUGCCGCGUGAGUGAUGAAGGCCUUAGGGUUGUAAAGCUCUUUUACCCGGGAUGUUAAUGACGGUACCGGGAGAAUAAGCUCCGGCUAACUCCGUG
This 433-nucleotide ribosomal RNA is filed under the name uncultured bacterium. Its description in RNAcentral is "partial 16S ribosomal RNA". It matches the Rfam family "Bacterial small subunit ribosomal RNA", at positions 29 to 507 of the family's 1533-position model. The record is from RNAcentral.